This 511-nucleotide ribosomal RNA is filed under the name uncultured bacterium. RNAcentral's name for it is "bacterial SSU rRNA". It matches the Rfam family "Bacterial small subunit ribosomal RNA", at positions 355 to 867 of the family's 1533-position model. The record is from RNAcentral.
UAGGGAAUAUUGGUCAAUGGGUGAGAGCCUGAACCAGCCAUGCCGCGUGCAGGAAGAAGGCCUUCUGGGUUGUAAACUGCUUUUGCCAGGGGAUAAAAUUUCCUUGCGAGGAAAAUUGAAGGUACCUGGUGAAUAAGCCACGGCUAACUACGUGCCAGCAGCCGCGGUAAUACGUAGGUGGCAAGCGUUGUCCGGAUUUAUUGGGUUUAAAGGGUGCGUAGGCGGCCCUGUAAGUCAGUGGUGAAAUAUCCCAGCUUAACUGGGAGGGUGGCAUUGAUACUGCGGGGCUAGAGUACAGAUGAGGUAGGCGGAAUUGACGGUGUAGCGGUGAAAUGCUUAGAUAUCGUCAAGAACACCUAUAGCGAAGGCAGCUUACUAGGCUGUAACUGACGCUGAGGCACGAAAGUGUGGGGAUCAAACAGGAUUAGAUACCCUGGUAGUCCACACUGUAAACGUUGAUUACUCGCUGUGUGCGAUAUACAGUACGCGGCCAAGCGAAAGCGCUAAGUAU